UGUGGGCGGGGAUGACCUUUGACAAAAUGUUUGGAAAGUGCUUGUCCGUGCUGCGCUCUCUGUCCGGUUUUGUGGUGAAAUUAAACGAAUUGUGCACGAAGAAAGUGAGGAUUUGGUCCUCUUAAAUGGAGCUAAAGCAGCAGGGAAACACCUCCUGUUCUGUUCUAUAGAUGUUCUGACAGACCAAACCAAGAUAUAAAUAUGGUCGCUGACAGACUUCCAUUGACAUCUUGCUGAGAGACUGUUUCCUGGGAGGAAAGGCCAAAGUCAUCAAUGAAGAGUUUACUGUCACUGAGCUGACAGAUUGGUUGGAUUACAUCAUCUCCAUUAUCAACUCCAAACCACGCCACGUGCACCUUGAUGGAGGAUCACAGCGUCACGCCAUCAGAGAGAACCACUGAAGAGCAAGAGAUGGGAGAUUCCAGUGUCGACGUAACAGCAACUGACAUUGCAAGAACCAGUGAAGAUCAAGAGAUGGGAGCUUGUACCAGUGUCGGCAUGACGGCAACCGUGUGGAUUUUGUUUCUGUCUCUUCGUUGGUGGCUGAAUCAACGGGACCGUUGAUGUCUUGGUGGUGGAGAGGAGAGACACAGGCCUUCAAGGCUAGAUUUUUAUAUUGGGCUACUGAUGGA
Molecule: long non-coding RNA, 632 nt
Organism: Sander lucioperca (pikeperch)
Lineage: Eukaryota; Metazoa; Chordata; Actinopteri; Perciformes; Percidae
Exons: 3
Source: RefSeq, a predicted model, not a curated record